UGGGGAAUAUUGGACAAUGGGCGCAAGCCUGAUCCAGCCAUGCCGCGUGUGUGAUGACGGCCUUAGGGUUGUAAAGCACUUUCGCCGAUGAAGAUAAUGACUGUAGUCGGAGAAGAAGCCCCGGCUAACUUCGUGCCAGCAGCCGCGGUAAUACGAAGGGGGCUAGCGUUGUUCGGAAUUACUGGGCGUAAAGCGUACGUAGGCGGAUUGUUAAGUGAGGGGUGAAAUCCCGAGGCUCAACCUCGGAACUGCCUUUCAUACUGGCAAUCUUGAGUCCGGGAGAGGUGAGUGGAACUCCUAGUGUAGAGGUGAAAUUCGUAGAUAUUAGGAAGAACACCAGUGGCGAAGGCGGCUCACUGGCCCGGAACUGACGCUGAGGUACGAAAGCGUGGGGAGCAAACA
Molecule: ribosomal RNA, 402 nt
Filed under: uncultured Kaistia sp.
Lineage: Bacteria; Pseudomonadati; Pseudomonadota; Alphaproteobacteria; Hyphomicrobiales; Kaistiaceae
Description: bacterial SSU rRNA
Rfam family: Bacterial small subunit ribosomal RNA
Source: RNAcentral